GAACGCUAGCUACAGGCUUAACACAUGCAAGUCGAGGGGCAGCAUGAAAGUAGCUUGCACUUUGAUGGCGACCGGCGCACGGGUGCGUAACGCGUAUCCCAAUCUACCCAUGGCUCAGGGAUAGCCUUUCGAAAGAAAGAUUAAUACCUGAUGGUUUCGCUUUUUCCGCAUGGUUUAGCGAAUAAAGAUUUAUCGGCGAUGGAUGAGGAUGCGACUGAUUAGGUGUUGGCGGGGUAACGGCCCACCAAGCCGACGAUCAGUAGGGGUUCUGAGAGGAAGGUCCCCCACAUUGGAACUGAGACACGGUCCAAACUCCUACGGGAGGCAGCAGUGAGGAAUAUUGGUCAAUGGACGAGAGUCUGAACCAGCCAAGUAGCGUGAAGGAUGACGGCCCUAUGGGUUGUAAACUUCUUUUGUUUGGGAAUAAAGUGCUCUACGUGUAGAGUUUUGUAUGUACCUUACGAAUAAGCAUCGGCUAAUUCCGUGCCAGCAGCCGC
RNAcentral lists this ribosomal RNA (497 nucleotides) under uncultured bacterium. RNAcentral's name for it is "bacterial SSU rRNA". It matches the Rfam family "Bacterial small subunit ribosomal RNA", at positions 31 to 518 of the family's 1533-position model. The record is from RNAcentral.